UCACAUUUACCACCCCCCUCCACUAUCCCUCGUGACUUGCUCAGAGACCGAUCACAGCAAUUCUAGAAUGUCGCUCAAAUGUCGCUCAGAAGGUGCUCUGAGUUUGAUCGACAUGAGCAGCCAAUGAAGGCGAAAGGUGGAUCCGCACGCUGACGGAUCAUGCACACCACCACUGAGUAUCUCCCGGAUCGGCCUUGUCGAUCGAACUUUGCAGUAAGUGAAUAGGGGGUCAAGGGAGUUGUGGUGAACUAUGAACCGGCCACUCAAGUGACCAGGGGUUUUGGAGGCGAUGGAGAGGCCUACAGCGUCUUCUCAACGACAAACCACAACCCCUACAAGUGCUACGGUACUAUUUUUUCUAAUCAUUAUCAUUAAUAGGUAUCUAAAGAUCUAAGCUGUCCAGCAGAAUAUAAAUAAGCGAAAGUC
RNAcentral lists this unclassified non-coding RNA (426 nucleotides) under Yarrowia lipolytica. Lineage: Eukaryota; Fungi; Ascomycota; Dipodascomycetes; Dipodascales. The record is from RNAcentral.